This 73-nucleotide transfer RNA is filed under the name Stegodyphus mimosarum. It matches the Rfam family "tRNA". Rfam says of the family: Transfer RNA (tRNA) molecules are approximately 80 nucleotides in length. Their secondary structure includes four short double-helical elements and three loops (D, anti-codon, and T loops). The record is from Rfam by way of RNAcentral. Lineage: Eukaryota; Metazoa; Arthropoda; Arachnida; Araneae; Eresidae.
GACUUCGUAGUGUAGUGGUCAGCACACUCGACUCGUAUUCAAGAGGUCCCUGGUUCGAGUCCCGCCGAGGGCG